AAAAUUUGUCUCAUCAGUGUCUUCUUUGGUUUGUUAGCUUUACGUUGGUCGGGCAUGAUUUCACGGGUAACCUUUGGUAGGUUGCCUGGCCACAAAGCACUUUCAAAAUGGCGGAUAUCUCGAAAGUUAGCUUCGCUCUAGGCUCUGCAUGAUGGGGUAUGAUUUUGGUACAUUUUGACGUGCUCUAGAUAGGUCAGGGCUUGAUAUAACCACGCCAAGGGUUACCGAAAGGAAACCCGUCACUCCAGGAGAUUACGCACAAGAUCAUCAUAAAUAAUCUCCGCCAUGCGGUCAUAGCCCUGCGGUCUCAAGUGGAGCCCAGUCUCCCAGAAGAAAUUUCUCUUCUCGUUCCCCAUGGAAUACCUUGGCAGCAUAAUGGCCAGGUCGCUAAGCACAGCCGCGCCUGUUUCCACAGCAUACCGCCGCAGCCGCUCGUUGACGUAUUUCCUCUCCUCACGUGUCUUGUGGCAAUACUCGUUGACAGUUUCCUCGCAAUCCGUUUCCGGUAUGGUGACCACUACGGUGUUGAAGCCUCGUUUGUGUGCCUCGCGAUGAGCUGCGAUGAUGUCAUGUACUAUUUUGUCCCAGUUCUUCUCGGUUGAGUCGCGUUUGUCGUGGAUGAUGUCAUUAGUUCCUCCAAGGAUGAUUACCCAUGAGUACCACUUGGUAACUAAAUGCACAAAUAGUGUUAAAUCACCAAUUAAAGUGGUUUUCAAAAUCCCGUGCAACAAAAUGUAAUUGUUUAAGUGUAAUAUGCAUACCAGAGCACAUGAGAACAAAGACAUUACAGUGUAUUAGUACUAAAUAAACUAAAUAGUAUUUCACGGAUUUUUGAAAACCACUCUACCACCCCUAGGUAAAUAGAUGCAUAAAUAGUUUGUUCAAGUACUUCUCCGUCAUAAUGCUCAUGGCUGACAUACCUUUGUUCGAGUACUUCUCCGUCAAAAUGCUCAUGGCUGACAUACCUUUGUUCGAGUACUUCUCCGUCAUAAUGCUCAUGGCUGACAUACCUUUGUUCCAGUACUUCUCCGUCAUAAUGCUCAUGGCUGACAUACCUUUGUUAAAGUACUUCUCCGUCAAAAUGCUCAUGGCUGACAUACCUUUGUUCAAGUAGUGCUUAAGUCUCUUAGUCAUGCUUGCCGCAGUCUCCUGGUCCUUGCCCUGAUUAUCGAUGAUGUAGCACUUAUGGGAGUCUUUGUUUAAUAGAAACUCGAGCUUGCUGGUGUAUGGGUGGUAGGAGCCACUUCCCCCGUAGAAGCCUUUAGUAAGGCUGUCACCGAAUGCGAGUAUGCGCACAGCCUCCAUACCUGAUAUUCAUAAAACCGUUCAUUUUCUUAAGCCUAGAAAAACUAUAGACAAGCUGAAGAAUUUUAAUUAAAAUUAGGUGAUCUGGGUAGUCUUAAAAAGUGGAUUCAAAAUAAAUCAACAUAAGGUUGAAAUGGUAUAU
Long non-coding RNA from Nematostella vectensis (starlet sea anemone), 1447 nucleotides. RefSeq lists it as uncharacterized. NCBI's taxonomy places the organism in Eukaryota, Metazoa, Cnidaria, Anthozoa, Actiniaria, Edwardsiidae. The record is from RefSeq and is a predicted model, not a curated record. The transcript has 2 exons.